This 594-nucleotide ribosomal RNA is filed under the name Staphylococcus intermedius. RNAcentral describes it as "bacterial SSU rRNA". It matches the Rfam family "Bacterial small subunit ribosomal RNA", at positions 63 to 644 of the family's 1533-position model. Lineage: Bacteria; Bacillati; Bacillota; Bacilli; Caryophanales; Staphylococcaceae. The record is from RNAcentral.
CGAACAGAUAAGGAGCUUGCUCCUUUGACGUUAGCGGCGGACGGGUGAGUAACACGUGGGUAACCUACCUAUAAGACUGGAAUAACUCCGGGAAACCGGGGCUAAUGCCGGAUAACAUGUUGAACCGCAUGGUUCUACAGUGAAAGACGGUCUUGCUGUCACUUAUAGAUGGACCCGCGCCGUAUUAGCUAGUUGGUGGGGUAACGGCCUACCAAGGCGACGAUACGUAGCCGACCUGAGAGGGUGAUCGGCCACACUGGAACUGAGACACGGUCCAGACUCCUACGGGAGGCAGCAGUAGGGAAUCUUCCGCAAUGGGCGAAAGCCUGACGGAGCAACGCCGCGUGAGUGAUGAAGGUCUUCGGAUCGUAAAGCUCUGUUGUUAGGGAAGAACAAAUGUGUAAGUAACUGUGCACAUCUUGACGGUACCUAACCAGAAAGCCACGGCUAACUACGUGCCAGCAGCCGCGGUAAUACGUAGGUGGCAAGCGUUAUCCGGAAUUAUUGGGCGUAAAGCGCGCGUAGGCGGUUUUUUAAGUCUGAUGUGAAAGCCCACGGCUCAACCGUGGAGGGUCAUUGGAAACUGGAAACUUG